RNAcentral lists this transfer RNA (21 nucleotides) under Meloidogyne incognita (southern root-knot nematode). Its description in RNAcentral is "partial tRNA-His". Lineage: Eukaryota; Metazoa; Nematoda; Chromadorea; Rhabditida; Meloidogynidae. The record is from RNAcentral.
AAGCUAUUAAUUUCAAUUUGA